CUGCCAGACUCCUACGGGAGGCAGCAGUGGGGGAUAUUGCACAAUGGGGGGAACCCUGAUGCAGCGACGCCGCGUGGGUGAAGGAGUAUUUCGGUAUGUAAAGCCCUAUCGGCAGGGAAGAAGCAAGACGGUACCUGACUAAGAAGCCCCGGCUAACUACGUGCCAGCAGCCGCGGUAAUACGUAGGGGGCGAGCGUUAUCCGGAUUCACUGGGUGUAAAGGGAGCGUAGACGGCCAUGCAAGCCAGGGGUGAAAGCCCGGGGCCCAACCCCGGGACUGCAUUGGAAACUGCCGGGCUGGAGUGCCGGAGGGGCAAGCGGAAUUCCUGGUGUAGCGGUGAAAUGCGCAGAUAUCAGGAAGAACACCGGUGGCGCAGGCGGCUUGCUGGACGGCAACUGACGCUGAGGCUCGAAAGCGUGGGGAGCAAACAGGAUUAGAUACCCCGGUAAG
This 450-nucleotide ribosomal RNA is filed under the name uncultured bacterium. Its description in RNAcentral is "bacterial SSU rRNA". It matches the Rfam family "Bacterial small subunit ribosomal RNA", at positions 328 to 793 of the family's 1533-position model. The record is from RNAcentral.